This 509-nucleotide ribosomal RNA is filed under the name uncultured bacterium. RNAcentral describes it as "partial 16S ribosomal RNA". It matches the Rfam family "Bacterial small subunit ribosomal RNA", at positions 28 to 506 of the family's 1533-position model. The record is from RNAcentral.
GACGAACGCUGGCGGCGUGCUUAACACAUGCAAGUCGAACGAAGAGCGAUGGAAGCUUGCUUCUAUCAAUCUUAGUGGCGAACGGGUGAGUAACGCGUAAUCAACCUGCCCUUCAGAGGGGGACAACAGUUGGAAACGACUGCUAAUACCGCAUACGAUCCAAUCUCGGCAUCGGGACUGGAUGAAAGGUGGCCUCUAUUUAUAAGCUAUCACUGAAGGAGGGGAUUGCGUCGGAUUAGCUAGUUGGAGGGGUAACGGCCCACCAAGGCGAUGAUCAGUAGCCGGUCUGAGAGGAUGAACGGCCACAUUGGGACUGAGACACGGCCCAGACUCCUACGGGAGGCAGCAGUGGGGAAUCUUCCGCAAUGGACGAAAGUCUGACGGAGCAACGCCGCGUGAGUGAUGACGGCCUUCGGGUUGUAAAGCUCUGUUAAUCGGGACGAAUGGUUCUUGUGCGAAUAGUGCGAGGAUUUGACGGUACCGGAAUAGAAAGCCACGGCUAACUACGU